GGCGGGGUAGCUCAGCUGGUUAGAGCGCACGACUCAUAAUCGUGAGGUCGCGGGAUCGAGUCCCGCCUCCGCUACCA
This 77-nucleotide transfer RNA is filed under the name Brevibacterium mcbrellneri ATCC 49030. RNAcentral describes it as "tRNA-Met". It matches the Rfam family "tRNA". Rfam says of the family: Transfer RNA (tRNA) molecules are approximately 80 nucleotides in length. Lineage: Bacteria; Bacillati; Actinomycetota; Actinomycetes; Micrococcales; Brevibacteriaceae. The record is from RNAcentral. RNAcentral also lists the same sequence under 2 other names.